RNAcentral lists this transfer RNA (71 nucleotides) under Dermacentor andersoni. RNAcentral describes it as "transfer RNA glycine (anticodon GCC)". It matches the Rfam family "tRNA". From Rfam's summary of the family: Transfer RNA (tRNA) molecules are approximately 80 nucleotides in length. The record is from RNAcentral. RNAcentral also lists the same sequence under 1 other name. Lineage: Eukaryota; Metazoa; Arthropoda; Arachnida; Ixodida; Ixodidae.
GCGUCGGUGGUUCAGUGGUAGAAUACUCGCCUGCCACGCGGGUGGCCUGGGUUCGAUUCCCGGCCGACGCA